UACGUAGGUGGCAAGCGUUGUCCAGAAUCACUGGGCGUAAAGCGCGCGCAGGCGGCGAUCUACGUCUGGGGUGAAAGCCCGGAGCUCAACUCCGGGACUGCCUUGGAUACGGGAUCGCUUGAGGAUUGGAGAGGCAAGGGGAAUUCCACGUGUAGCGGUGAAAUGCGUAGAUAUGUGGAGGAACACCUGUGGCGAAGGCGCCUUGCUGGCCAAUUUCUGACGCUGAGGCGCGAAAGCGUGGGGAGCAAACAGG
RNAcentral lists this ribosomal RNA (253 nucleotides) under uncultured bacterium. Its description in RNAcentral is "partial 16S ribosomal RNA". It matches the Rfam family "Bacterial small subunit ribosomal RNA", at positions 524 to 776 of the family's 1533-position model. The record is from RNAcentral.